Molecule: long non-coding RNA, 411 nt
Filed under: Gallus gallus (chicken)
Lineage: Eukaryota; Metazoa; Chordata; Aves; Galliformes; Phasianidae
Description: long non-coding RNA NONGGAT005720
Source: RNAcentral
ACAGAAACUCUGACGCCACCAUAAGCCAUGUAGUACUCUUCCAAAAAUAAUGGCCAUCUCAUCCAGUGAGCAUGAAGGACGGCUGGCUGUUCCUGUCCCUGUGCCCAAAUGAGCCUGGAGAGGCAGAGCAGUGCCAGUCAGCAUCAACUGGAGGAAAAAGAAGGCAGAACAAAACAGAACCUGUGUCCCGAGGUCUCUGAAAGAGCAAUGUGAGAGGAUGAGGAGACAAAGGCUGGAAGGAAUCAGAGCCACAAUAUGCAGAGAUUGAAGUCUAUAAAAGAAAGGGCAAGAAAUCCCGUUUUCUAUUACAACAACAGCUGAGACAGAAAAACAGUGACAAAUCUAACUUCAAGUUACCUUGCUACACAGAAUUUAUUUAUGGUUUGACUCAGUUCUGUUACUGUAGAUGUA